AAGUCCCUUUUCAUCUUGUGUUGCUUUUUGCRACGCAUGAUGAACCUCGAGGCGGUCUCUAUGUUCCACCACGUUGAUGCUAGCGUUUUGAUGUUGUGGCCCAUUGAGUGUUGCUUGGUUUCGUGGAUACAGAACAUGAUUUGGGCAUAGGGUUACUUGUGACUCUUGUUCUGUCCUUUAUCUGUGUUCUUUAUAACGACGGUUCAUGCGCGCCUAGGCUCGUACCUGCGCGAUGUUCUUUGUCGAAGAGGAAUGCUACCUGGUUGAUCCUGCCAGUAGUCAUAUGCUUGUCUCAAAGAUUAAGCCAUGCAUGKGUAAGU
This 320-nucleotide unclassified non-coding RNA is filed under the name Senecio hamersleyensis. RNAcentral describes it as "partial contains external transcribed spacer and 18S ribosomal RNA". The stretch from base 257 to 320 matches the Rfam family "Eukaryotic small subunit ribosomal RNA", at positions 1 to 64 of the family's 1831-position model. The record is from RNAcentral. Lineage: Eukaryota; Viridiplantae; Streptophyta; Magnoliopsida; Asterales; Asteraceae.